AAGCUGCUGGGAUUCACUGUGGAUGAGAACUGUUGGAUUUAAUACUCCUGCUGUUCACCGAGCAGUAAAAGACAGAGACUCAUUGUUCCUGCUGCAAAUCCAGGCUUACCUCUGCAAGAGAGCUGUUUCAGUCUAUAACUCCUCUUGUGUCUCUGGAAGUCCUGGGUCUCCCGAGAGUGGAAACAAACCAAUAGACUUCCUCAGAGCGGUUCACUGAGUGCUCCCUGUCCCCCU
Eleginops maclovinus (Patagonian blennie) is the source of this 234-nucleotide long non-coding RNA. RefSeq lists it as uncharacterized. The transcript has 4 exons. Lineage: Eukaryota; Metazoa; Chordata; Actinopteri; Perciformes; Eleginopidae. The record is from RefSeq and is a predicted model, not a curated record.